AUUGAACGCUGGCGGCAGGCCUAACACAUGCAAGUCGAACGGUAACAUUUCUAGCUUGCUAGAAGAUGACGAGUGGCGGACGGGUGAGUAAUGCUUGGGAACUUGCCUUUGCGAGGGGGAUAACAGUUGGAAACGACUGCUAAUACCGCAUAAUGUCUUCGGACCAAACGGGGCUUCGGCUCCGGCGCAAAGAGAGGCCCAAGUGAGAUUAGCUAGUUGGUAAGGUAACGGCUUACCAAGGCGACGAUCUCUAGCUGUUCUGAGAGGAAGAUCAGCCACACUGGGACUGAGACACGGCCCAGACUCCUACGGGAGGCAGCAGUGGGGAAUAUUGCACAAUGGGGGAAACCCUGAUGCAGCCAUGCCGCGUGUGUGAAGAAGGCCUUCGGGUUGUAAAGCACUUUCAGUUGUGAGGAAAAGUUAGUAGUUAAUACCUGCUAGCCGUGACGUUAACAACAGAAGAAGCACCGGCUAACUCCGUGCCAGCAGCCGCGGUAAUACGGAGGGUGCGAGCGUUAAUCGGAAUUACUGGGCGUAAAGCGCACGCAGGCGGUUUGUUAAGCUAGAUGUGAAAGCCCCGGGCUCAACCUGGGAUGGUCAUUUAGAACUGGCAGACUUAGAGUCUUGGAGAGGGGAGUGGAAUUCCAGGUGUAGCGGUGAAAUGCGUAGAUAUCUGGAGGAACAUCAGUGGCGAAGGCGACUCCCCUGGCCAAAGACUGACGCCUCAUGUGCGAAAGUGUGGGGUAAGCGAACAGGAUUAGAUACCCUGGGUAAG
RNAcentral lists this ribosomal RNA (775 nucleotides) under Alteromonas sp. B349. RNAcentral's name for it is "bacterial SSU rRNA". It matches the Rfam family "Bacterial small subunit ribosomal RNA", at positions 28 to 793 of the family's 1533-position model. The record is from RNAcentral. Lineage: Bacteria; Pseudomonadati; Pseudomonadota; Gammaproteobacteria; Alteromonadales; Alteromonadaceae.